This 482-nucleotide ribosomal RNA is filed under the name uncultured bacterium. RNAcentral's name for it is "bacterial SSU rRNA". It matches the Rfam family "Bacterial small subunit ribosomal RNA", at positions 29 to 507 of the family's 1533-position model. The record is from RNAcentral.
AUGAACGCUGGCGGCGUGCUUAACACAUGCAAGUCGAACGAAGCACUUUACUUGAUCUUUUCGGAGUGAUUGUUUGUGACUGAGUGGCGGACGGGUGAGUAACGCGUGGGUAACCUGCCUCACACAGGGGGGAUAACAGUUGGAAAACGGCUGCUAAUACCGCAUAAGCGCACAGUGCCGCAUGGUACGGUGUGAAAAAACUCCGGUGGUGUGAGAUGGACCCGCGUCUGAUUAGCUAGUUGGCAGGGCAACGGCCUACCAAGGCGACGAUCAGUAGCCGACCUGAGAGGGUGACCGGCCACAUUGGGACUGAGACACGGCCCAAACUCCUACGGGAGGCAGCAGUGGGGAAUAUUGCACAAUGGGGGAAACCCUGAUGCAGCGACGCCGCGUGAGCGAAGAAGUAUUUCGGUAUGUAAAGCUCUAUCAGCAGGGAAGAAGAAAUGACGGUACCUGACUAAGAAGCACCGGCUAAAUACGUG